UCGAGGAUCUUCGUCAAUGGUCGAAAGACUGAACGAGCGACGCCGCGUGCGCGAUGAAGGCCUUCGGGUUGUAAAGCGCGAAAGUAGGGACGAAAGUCGAAAGAUUUGACCGAUCUACAGUAAGCUCGGGCUAAGUUCGUGCCAGCAGCCGCGGUAAGACGAACCGAGCAAACGUUAUUCGGAAUCACUGGGCUUAAAGGGCGCGUAGGCGGGUAUUCAAGUCUGUGGUGAAAUCCGGCAGCUUAACUGU
This 250-nucleotide ribosomal RNA is filed under the name uncultured bacterium. Its description in RNAcentral is "partial 16S ribosomal RNA". It matches the Rfam family "Bacterial small subunit ribosomal RNA", at positions 355 to 616 of the family's 1533-position model. The record is from RNAcentral.